CGGUUUAAUCGGACUCAACGCCGGGGAAAACUCACCAGUUAAGACAGCUGAAUGAUAGUCGGGCUGAAGACUCUACUUGACUAGCUGAGAGGAGGUGCAUGGCCGUCGUCAAGUUCGUACUGUGAAGCAUCCUGUUAAGUCAGGCAACGAGCGAGACCCACGCCAACAGUUGCUAGCUCGUCCUCCGGGAUGGAGAGGACACUGUUGGGACCGCCUCUGCUAAAGAGGAGGAAGGAAUGGGCAACGGUAGGUCAGCAUGCCCCGAAUUAACUGGGCUACACGCGGGCUACAAUGGGUGGGACAAUGGGUAUCGACACCGAAAGGUGAAGGCAAUCUCCUAAACCCAUCCGUAGUUCGGAUUGUGGGCUGCAACUCGCCCACAUGAAGCUGGAAUCUGUAGUAAUCGUGUCUCAAAAUGGCACGGUGAAUAUGUCCCUGCUCCUU
Molecule: ribosomal RNA, 444 nt
Filed under: uncultured Methanomicrobiales archaeon
Lineage: Archaea; Methanobacteriati; Methanobacteriota; Methanomicrobia; Methanomicrobiales
Description: bacterial SSU rRNA
Rfam family: Archaeal small subunit ribosomal RNA
Source: RNAcentral